AUAAUAUCUUGUUAACAGAAACUUCUGACUAGCACUAUAAGUUCUUGGUCACACCAGAUCAGUCUGUUACACUCUGUAUUAUCAACCUCAGCAGACUUUUACAAUUCUUGAUCACACAAGAAAGGUUGGAACAAUUCUUUCUCAAACUAUUAUGACAAAUAGACUUGAGACUAAAAUACAAUUUGUAUGAUGAAAGGAUUUGUUGGAUCGAAAUUUCUCAACACAUGUUUGAGAUUUAAAUAAACAAACUCAAAAGAUUAUGAUCCAAUGAUAUAGGGUGAGAGCUUGGAGUUUGUUUGUUGUUGAAGAGUUUUUGAAUGUAGUGAUAAUUUUCACUUGAGUGAGAGAUGAUUUC
Molecule: long non-coding RNA, 355 nt
Filed under: Medicago truncatula (barrel medic)
Lineage: Eukaryota; Viridiplantae; Streptophyta; Magnoliopsida; Fabales; Fabaceae
Description: long non-coding RNA (MTRU_LNC003595)
Source: RNAcentral